This is a long non-coding RNA of Aphidius gifuensis, 540 nucleotides long. RefSeq lists it as uncharacterized. The record is from RefSeq and is a predicted model, not a curated record. Lineage: Eukaryota; Metazoa; Arthropoda; Insecta; Hymenoptera; Braconidae. The transcript has 4 exons.
CUGAUAAAACUCAAUAAUUACACGGUGAUAAUGACAACAUUUUAAUUGGAUUUUUUCUACAAAAAAACUCAAGUGUAUAUCCAGAAAUAAAUUAUCAAAAUGGAUUUUUGCUAAAAUUUGCUGAAAAAGAAUUUCAUAUAAUUGGUGCCAAUUUGAAUUGUGUUGAUGAGACAAUAAUACUUGGACAUUACAGUGUGAUAUCUCAAUAUGUCUAGGGUAAAGUAAACACGUUUGAGAAUUCAACACAAAUAGCCAAAGAGCCCUUGAUGUAUUUUGGUGUUUAGCAUGUUCAGCACAUUAAUAUUCAUCAUCGAGCUUCAAAAUCCAUCAGUGCACUUUGUCCACAAGUAUCUGAAUGUACAUAUUGCACGCUGGAAUUAAGUUUCGAUUCAUCAUAAAUUUGUCAAUAUGAAUUUGACCAAUGACCACAAUCACAAUGAUCAAGAGACACUCAAAAGUCAACUCAAGUAGAGGAUUAAAAUAAAAGAUGACCAGUUAGAAGCAAUGACGUUGUUACUUUUUUCAAGAGCCUUAAAUUAU